GCUGGAAUGGCCGAGUCGUUAAGGCGAUAGAUUUGAAUGCGUUAAAAUUUUCAAUGUUCAUCAUCUAUUACUCUCUGAGUGCGUAGGUUCAAAUCCUGCUUCCAGCG
Molecule: non-coding RNA, 107 nt
Organism: Lentinula raphanica
Lineage: Eukaryota; Fungi; Basidiomycota; Agaricomycetes; Agaricales; Omphalotaceae
Source: the annotation of a GenBank genome assembly